RNAcentral lists this transfer RNA (72 nucleotides) under Camelus ferus (Wild Bactrian camel). It matches the Rfam family "tRNA". Rfam says of the family: Transfer RNA (tRNA) molecules are approximately 80 nucleotides in length. Their secondary structure includes four short double-helical elements and three loops (D, anti-codon, and T loops). The record is from Rfam by way of RNAcentral. Lineage: Eukaryota; Metazoa; Chordata; Mammalia; Artiodactyla; Camelidae.
GAGGGUAUAGGUCAGUGGUAUAGUGCAUGCCUAGCAUGCAUGAGGUCCUGGGUUCAAUCCCCAGUUCCUCCA